CCGAGUUAGGGUACUCUUCGUGCCCGACCUCCAACCCUUUGUCUACCUGACCAGAUGUGAUCGGCAGGCCCGCCGCCCGCAAGGGUGGUAGCCGCCGGGGGCCCUUACCGGCUCCGGGUCCGCGCCUGUCGAUGGCCCUCUAUAAACUCUUGCUUAAACCGUGUCGUCUGAGUAAAACAAACAAAUAAACA
Molecule: unclassified non-coding RNA, 191 nt
Filed under: soil metagenome
Description: partial internal transcribed spacer 1
Source: RNAcentral